This 506-nucleotide ribosomal RNA is filed under the name uncultured bacterium. RNAcentral describes it as "partial 16S ribosomal RNA". It matches the Rfam family "Bacterial small subunit ribosomal RNA", at positions 29 to 523 of the family's 1533-position model. The record is from RNAcentral.
AGUGAACGCUGGCGGUAGGCCUAACACAUGCAAGUCGAACGGCAGCACAGAGGAGCUUGCUCCUUGGGUGGCGAGUGGCGGACGGGUGAGGAAUACAUCGGAAUCUACUCUGUCGUGGGGGAUAACGUAGGGAAACUUACGCUAAUACCGCAUACGACCUACGGGUGAAAGCAGGGGAUCUUCGGACCUUGCGCGAUUGAAUGAGCCGAUGUCGGAUUAGCUAGUUGGCGGGGUAAAGGCCCACCAAGGCGACGAUCCGUAGCUGGUCUGAGAGGAUGAUCAGCCACACUGGAACAGAGACACGGUCCAGACUCCUACGGGAGGCAGCAGUGGGGAAUAUUGGACCAUGGGCGCAAGCCUGAUCCAGCCAUACCGCGUGGGUGAAGAAGGCCUUCGGGUUGUAAAGCCCUUUUGUUGGGAAAGAAAUCCAGCUGGUUAAUACCCGGUUGGGAUGACGGUACCCAAAGAAUAAGCACCGGCUAACUUCGUGCCAGCAGCCGCAGUAA